UACCCCGAGGAAAAGAAAUCAACCGAGAUUCCCCCAGUAGCGGCGAGCGAACGGGGAGGAGCCCAGAGCCUGAAUCAGCAUGUGUGUUAGUGGAAGCGUCUGGAAAGGCGCGCGAUACAGGGUGACAGCCCCGUACACAAAAGCGCAUGUGCUGUGAGCUCGAUGAGUAGGGCGGGACACGUGGUAUCCUGUCUGAAUAUGGGGGGACCAUCCUCCAAGGCUAAAUACUCCUGACUGACCGAUAGUGAACCAGUACCGUGAGGGAAAGGCGAAAAGAACCCCGGCGAGGGGAGUGAAAAAGAACCUGA
This 308-nucleotide ribosomal RNA is filed under the name Salmonella enterica subsp. enterica serovar Larochelle. Its description in RNAcentral is "partial 23S ribosomal RNA". It matches the Rfam family "Bacterial large subunit ribosomal RNA", at positions 207 to 553 of the family's 2925-position model. Lineage: Bacteria; Pseudomonadati; Pseudomonadota; Gammaproteobacteria; Enterobacterales; Enterobacteriaceae. The record is from RNAcentral.